AGGGAUUGGGAGCAGAUUGCUGUGUUCCCUGAGAUCCCUCGACUUGGAGGAACCUGCAUAUUAAUUCCAGCUGGCUUCUUCAAUCCAUGCUCCCUGAAACUAACUCUCCUUCUAAAGUUCAGUGUGUGUUUCCAUAUGCUGCAAUAGGUCCCGGACAGAAGUCUACAAGUGGCUUUCUGGGUUUUAGAAGUUUCAAUACAAAACUGCUCUUCAGCAUUAGUUGACUUCUUCUUUAUUUAAUAUUUUGGUUUCCAAAACUGCUUUUGCUCCCCACUUUUUUUUUUUCCUCUUCAUUGAAUUUUUAUCAUUCAAUGGAGAUAAUUCUUCUACCUUAGUUGGAGCAGAAUAGAUAGAAUUAAAUAGCAAGAAAAAACGUAAAACAUUCCAGCACACAUUGAGUGGAUUUAGGCAGAAGGCCAAUACAGCAAAGGUACUCAUGUCAGAAGCAGGCACUGGGAUAAACCAUGUUUCCGUAAGUUACUCAGGCUUUGAUGAAGAAGAUGGUUUCUAUGUGAUGAAACAAUUAGAAAAUAGUAUCUUGGUCACAUCUGCCAGAUCUUCAUAGCUCUGCAUUUCAGUUGUAUAUACAACUUUAUUCGUUUGCAUUCUUAUCUUCACUGUGAUUUAUAGUUUUUCAUUAAAGCACUACCUUGUAAAAGUAGUGGUAGGUGUAGGGUACGUUUAUUUUAAGAUGAUUUGACAAGAGGAAAAGAAGCUUAAAGUAUUUGCAAAGAUAUGCUUGACUAUCUGGCCUUUGCAUUCUUUCUUCCUGGAAUGAAGAUUUUGCAGAAGAAAUUGCCAAAAUAUGGACAUAGCAGACUGUCAGCUAAUGUGAGAAGGAGGGUAUGGAGAUAUAGAAGAGACAAAGCACCAUUUGGCAAGAUUCCUUGUGGAAGAGGAGAAAAUGAGAAGGUACAAAUAUGUACAGCAAACCAAAAACUCCAUGCCAUUCACACUUUUCAUCUUGAAGAGGGUGAAAAGUCUUAGGGAAUUGCAGAGAUAUAAGACAAAUAAAGUCAUUUAGUUAAUUGGCAGCAUUUUUUGUUCUCCGAAAGAGAACAAGAGGGCAGACAGAGAAAAAUUACUUAAAUAUUUUAUUCUUCCCCUAUAUUUUGGGUCUGAGAUUCGUGUUGCAGUGGCUUAUCAUGUCUAAAAGUCUGCCCACCUCUACCAACACAAGCUAUCACAGGAGGGAAGGAAUUCAAGAAAAGGAAUGUUGUUUCUCGCUAAUGGGGUCCCCCAGAAAGGAGGAGUCCAGAUACAGCAGUAAAAUGCUGGUCAGAAGCAGUAAAACAUGUUGAACUGUGGGUGUGGAUAAUGUUCAGGUUUGAAUUUGCUAAGGAAUAUUUAGUUUGGGAGAGGUCAUUAUAAAUUAAAGCGAGGAGUUACCUCUGCUAGACAAGAGAAUAGGGAUUUGGACAAAGUAUUGCGAUAGUUAUUCAUUUAUCCUUUUUUGUCUGCUUUAAGAAAGAAAUCAAAUUCCUGCUGAAGUCAAUGAUUCCUUUCCCUCGGGAUGAAGAAGGUAGAAUCUGACAGAGGGUUUGAGGACUUAUUGCAAGACAAGACGCAGGAAGGACCCUUCCCCCACACAAUCUAUAAAAUUUUCCUUUGUCGCAGUACAGUAUUCUAUUUUAUUUUUUCUUUUCCUAAAGACAACUUAUUAAUUUUUCUCUGAUACCACCACUGUAUAUAGAGCUGGAUCUAUAAUUCAUGAGAAUAUAAACACUGGCAUUAGAAAGAAAACCUGUCAUAAAUUAAGCUAUUAGUCUUUUAAAUGAACAGUGAUGGCUGUGUGGGGAUGCAGAACAUUUAUUGCGAUGCUAAAUAUAGUUUAAUGCUAAAAGGUUUUCAUCAAUAUAUGUUAAGAACAAAACAAUGAAGUGCUUUGAGCUUGAAUUUUUGUUCUCUGUAAAUUGUAUUAGUGCUUUAUUCCCUUUGGUUCUGGAGUUUCUUUGCCCUUUAAAGUCAAGACUAUUUCUAUCGCUCAUUGGAGAACAACUGCAUUUUGAAACUUGGACCUUCCCUCCCUCUGCUUCUACCUCAGCAGCAUCACUGAAGCCAACAAUUUCAAACAGAAGCGGAAGGAAGGAGCUGAGGCUGUUUCACGGAUGCUCCAGGAGAUCCCUCACCGUAAAAGUUGUUUACAAGGAAGUUUCUCAACAAAGCGCUGUUACUCAAAAAGGUGUCCCAGCACACACGCUUUCCAGUUCCUAAUCCCAUUUGACCAAAAGCUGCCACCACCAACCCAACUGCAAAUAUAGAUUCUACUGAAAUAUUAAUUGAAGAAAAGCUCUGAACAAGCACCAAAAGAACAGUCGUCUACAAAUGCUGUCCUUCCACUUUGCAAGUGAACCUCUCCAUAAUGAAAGAGAUGAAUUUAGUGCAUCUUGAGAGAGACCAGCUAGCUGCUAGCAAGUUUCCACCAAUCCAUGCUGCCAACUAUGCUCAAAGCACCCAGAGGAACCUUAAAUUUAAUCGCCCAUUCCUGCUAACCUGGUGUCCAGAGGAUUGCAAGUGCCAGGUCAUUUUUCUGACUUACAGGAGAUACAAACUACCUAAUAGCUGAGCCGUCGCAUAGCAUGUCCUAUACGAGACUGGUGGUUACUGGUGUGGCCAAAUGGGUGUGUUGAAAUCCUGUUUAUUAUAUUCAGUUGAAUGUUUUCCUGAAUGCGAAGGAUUAUUAAUCACCUGUGCGUUGAGUGUGCUCAAAACCUGCUCUGAACGCAGAUGGUACAGAAGAGGAGAAACUGUGCUUUGCUCUGUUGAGUUCACUGGCUGAACAAGGAAAAAGUUGAGGUGCUUUUAGGAAAUAACAACAGGCAAAGCGAGGCCGGGGAAAAGGAGGCAAAAUAGUUUUUCCUGCUCCUGAGCAAACGCUGGCAGUGGCCAACUUCUGAACAUCUGGUCUCCCACUGUGUUUUCUCACAUCAUGCCAAUACCUGACUGGAAUAAACAACUUUAUCUAGAUCCUUGUUUCUUACCAUCAGAGGCCGAUAAGAAAACCUAUUCCUAUCAGCGUGAGAUUCGAGUUGAGGGAAGAAAGAUUUAUGCCUGUUUGAAACCAGCCUCCACCCUGCCUAAUUGUUUAGCUCUGUGGAGAAACACGAAGUUUAAUCAUGCAGAUUCUUAUUUUCCAGGAGGCUGUAGAUCACAGCAUCAAUACUGCUCUCACCACCCACCAGGCAGUCAGCAUACAGCUCCAAUUUGUUUUUACAUGGAAAUGACAGCAUGCUUCCCCUCUACAAUUUACUGUAAUGCUGAUAUUUUGUGUUUCUACAGCUCCCUUCCUUCCCUGGGCUCUGGCUGCUUGGGAAACCUGAAUAUUUCAAACCAACAAGGUGCUCCAGAGGUGAGAAUAAUUCAUAUUCUGAUGGGCUAACCAGGGCACAUAACUACUCUGAUGGCAUUUUGAGAUGUUUCCAGCCCUUCUUGUUGCCACCUGUUCAGAAUGGGAUCCCAUCCAGUUGUUCAGAUUCAACGGGAUCUGAUUCAGCUGUGAAAUCCACAUUCAAAACCCAAGUCUUGCUCUCCUCCAGGAUGAUUUCUCCGAUCUGUUUUGGGCAGCUUAACCGCCACAGCUGAAAAGGCUACUGGUGCUGCUAAGAGAUAGAAAAUGAAGUAGGAAAGGACCAAGUAGGAUAGGAAGGAUAGGUUUUAAAGGCUCUCCUGAAAGAAUAGCAAAACGGAAGCAGCUCCACAGGUGAAGCCAUCGUGGUCCCUACAGGAUUAAAGCCCAGCUCUUCUUGUUUCUAUUCUUGUCUUCUAACCUUCGAAUCACCUCAGUGAUAGAUACCUGCAAACCAAACGUUUUAUUUGCAAGCCCUUUAUACCCUCAGCUAUUUAAACAGAUGUACUACUUUGGAUGGGGAAAUAUAUUUGGAAAAUUAUCUAUUUUCAGCACUUAUAAGAACAUCUGAGCUGUCAAAAGUCUCUUUUCAUAUUCAGCUUUAUAAAAAUUUCUUUACUGUAGGUGUGCAGGUUCUUUGUAAGGGAUUGAGAGCUGGGCUCAAUUUUUACUUACAGCAGGCUCGUCAUUCAGCUCAGAGCAUCUCCCACAACCGCUUAAAAGAAAAAAAUCACACUUAAUAGCAUUGUCUUAUUAUUACUAUCAUCUUGCAUCCAAUACAAGCUUGAAUAUAAUAAAUGUUAUGAAUAUA
Molecule: long non-coding RNA, 4157 nt
Organism: Cuculus canorus (common cuckoo)
Lineage: Eukaryota; Metazoa; Chordata; Aves; Cuculiformes; Cuculidae
Exons: 3
Source: RefSeq, a predicted model, not a curated record